UAUAAACAGGGCAUUUUGCUGCUGGAGGCCAGGCAACAACAUUGCCUGGCUGCAGGGCUGCUGGUAUCAUCUGGAGCCAAUCCCACCAUGUGAAUACUGGAGCAUAGUUCCCAUAGAAGUUCAUGUGGUGGAAGUCAUGAAAACGGCUAGUAACAGCAAAAGGCACCAGUCGUAAGGGAUCCCAGGGAGCAUCAUAUCCGCUGCAGUGAGAAGAAGAAAAUAUGAUAUAUGGUUCAUUCACAAAAGUAAAGAAACAAAAAUGGAACAGUAGCUCCAAGCCAAACGUUCAGGAGCUCUUGAUGUAGUGCUGCUAAUGGACAUCCACAGACAACUAUUGUGCAAACAUGCCACUAAAGACAUUUCUCAGUUAACAGUUCUAGUUAGUGUGUUUUUAUUUACCUGUGCACAUGUGUAUUUUGCACUAUCCGUGCCACUGUACAGAGCCAUACCGAGAAUAAAUGAUUGCAAAAAAUGUACAUGCCAAAAGAGAAACCUGCUCCAAAGAUCAAAAUCUCUCCUGGGCCAGCAUAUGUUGCCUGAAUAGAAAAUGGUGUCUGGAAAAAAGAAAACCAUUUAUCUUGUUAGUGCAUAUGAAGAGCAUUGUGAUCCUGCCUAUCAAUAGGAAGCAGUUUUCCCCCAUCCCAUAUUCUGAUUUCUCCAAGAAAUAAAACGUUCUCACUUCAACAAUGGUAAAUUUCUCUCUAGCCUGGAUUUCUUCCUCCCCUCCCCUUUUUCAGGACAAAACUGGAGCUGAUCCUUCCUUCCCCCAAAAUGGAGUUUAGAAAAAAAGUGUGCCAGAGGUGGAAGAGAGCUAUUCUAAUAUUACAGCUGAACUCACUUUGUUUAAACCUUUAUAAAGUUGUGUAAAACUUUACUAAGGCAAAACUGAAGAGCUAAGGUAUGCAAAGUUUCGGCAGCUCAGCUUCCUCUGACAUCCUGUUCAAUUAACAUGUCUUCAGUGGUUUAAUGUUGUUUCUUUCCUUGAAUUUCUUUCUUAGCUCCUUACAGCAUAAAAACAGGCAACUCAGUGUUAUCACUGAUCAACACUGCUAUUAUUGCAUUCUUAGUGGAAGAUUUAUAUCUUUGCUGAUUUAAAAGCCAGUUGUAAUUUUCAGUGCAAUCUCAAGUGUACAGUCUAAAUUAUAUUCCAACUUUGUUUCCUUACCUGAAAGUUAUGAUGAACUUUAUGGAGGUAUUGGUAUAGUCUUCGGUGAUGCAAUAGCCUAUGCGUGAAAUACUCCCAAGUAUCUUCAAUCAGCAAACAUCCAAAGACUUGAGCAAUUGCAGAAUACCUAGUAGGAGUUGGAGAGAUUAAAAUGUGAACAAAUAUAUUUGUAUAACACCCAACAACAAUCAAAUAGGACGCCCUGGUUGUAGAUAUGAAAUUGUCACCAGAAGAAAAGUAAAAAAGUAACUUUGCUUCAACCAACAUAUUUAUAAUAUCAUACGCCUCCUGAGCUUUAUACCAGUCUAAUGUUUACAACCCAAUUAACAAAAUCAAAAUGAAGCUAUACCUCUGAUAAGCCAUUAGUUGUCUGAAGGAUGCUGUGGUUUUAUUUCUGAGAUGUGUUCUCUCUGACUGGCCACCUUGUAGGUGUUAUAUUAUUACCAGGAGUAUCAUCGCUUUUGAUUUAAAGGGCGCCUACUUCAAUGUGGCAAUUAAACUUAUUUUGAGUACCUAAGACUUUGCUAGAGACUAGACAUUACUGUUUUGAGUCCUUCUUUAAGAGUCUUAAGUGCCGCACUCUUGUUUUAUACCUCAGACACCAUAUUUGGACUAUUAGUUCCUAAUGGGUCGCUUGCAAUAUCACCUUCCCUCUGUGAUCCAGCCUUUUCAGUUUUGGGGAGAAAUUCCUGCUUCAGCCUUCACAAAAGACAACUCGUGGCACCAGUCUGGUCUUUUUUAAGGCCAGAGUCUAUUGUUUCACUCAAAUUUUGGAAUCUCAGUUUUCAUAAUUUGAAAUUGCUUGCCAGUUCCCAGAGUAUGACUGGUACUCGCUACACAGUCUUUAUAUUAAGGCUGUUGAGUCUGAUUGCAUCAUCAAUCAAAGUCAUUCUCUUUAAACAUCUGAAUAUGAGAGUCUUGCAGCAUGGAGUGGGAGGGUGACAGCAGCAGCAGCAAGACAAGUGCCAUCAAGACAAAGCGUCAUUGCAGAUCAAAUACCAUUGAAAUCAGUCUGUAGUUUCAAGUUUAAGACUGAACAUCUAGCCAGCCAACCUGUAUUGGUCUGGUGAGCAUGCGAUUGCCAGAUACGUGGCCUGUGUUUAAGGCUUCACAAUACAAGGAGUGCCCCACAUCAUAGGUGUGAGUGCACAAUGGAGACCUCAGAAGAAGUCAUUUCUACUAAGUAGCCUUCUUUUGUUUCACUUUGAAAUGGUGAAAUGAUCAAAGUACAACCUUUUUCCAUAGGAAAAGAGUUAAUACAAUAUUCAGAAAUUGUAAAGCAACCUGUUGUAAUCUGCAUUCGUUUUACUCCCACAUAAUAUAAUUAGCUGCUAUUUUAAUUUUAUGAAUUGCAGAUCAUCGCGAUUAGUGAUGCAUAAGUGAAAUAGUAGAUUGUGUAAAUUAAUUUAUAGCUGUCAUAAGGAGAUGUAUUUUGUGAUGUAUCAUCCUUGCUUUUGAUUCCGCUUGUUUAUUUAAACUCUAAUUUGUUGGAUUCAUUGGUAGUUCAGAUUGGCAUAAUGUGCAACAAAACCUCAAAGCCCAAUGAGAGAGGCCAAAAGGAAGAAGCAAUACACAGCUGCCCUGCUGCAAAUUCAAUAGAAACUCAAGAUGACCAGAAUCAUGCUAGACAUAAAAGACACAAAACCUAUGUAACUCAUGCUCUAAAGCAUAAAAAAUAUGGGAAGCAGCAUGAGUGUCCUUUUGAAUCACAAGCAAAGUACAUAUGUAGCAAUAUAGCCUGUGAGUGUAAGCAUUGGCAUCCGGCCUAAAAAUUCCACAUGCAAUGCAAAAAACCUCAGAAUUCACUUUCAACUCUUAAACGUCCCCUAAGAAUAUGUGAAGAGUCAGCCCCGUGAUUGAUUUCAGUUCCGUGCAUGGAACAAAAAGCAGGCCGGAGAGGAUUUAGGACAGUAUUGGAAAACAAGAGCUGCAGAACAUGGAAGUCAGUGGGACUUUUUAACAUGACUAAAGACAGUAGAACUUGGUCUUGUCAUUGCAUUUGAUAUUUUUAGAAAGAUAUAAUACCAUCGAGGCAUGGAGUUCCAGUCGCAUGGUAAAUUGGCAUACUCCACGUAAAAGUACACAGCUAAGGACAGUGGUGUAUGGAGAGUGAAUAUAUGAUAAAAUGUCAUCUUGAAACAUUUCCACUGAUCUUCCCAAGUUUCUGGCUUGUCCUAAAAAAAGAUGAUAAUGAAAAAAUGAUUUACUCAAAAACAUUAUUUUUCUUAAGUACUGAAGUUAGCAGAUGUUCUGCUGGCUUCAAUAUAUACAGUAGGAUGUACAAAAAUUUUUUGAGGGAUAAUGAGAAAAUAAAAGGAUAUAAAGAAUUAAUUAUUAAUUAGAGGGCAGGAAGCUACUGGCUAAGAUGCUCAAGAGGGCUACGUUUUGUUUUAUGAAUCUGAAAGAUAUGCACAUUUAAUUCUAACGACAACAGGACUAAAGAAACACCGUCUUAUGCUUAAUUUUUGCCUAGCUUGUUGUGUUUUUAUACAUGAUAGAAGCAAUAGCAAAUGAGUGCACAUUCUAAUAAAGUUAUAUUUGUUUUCGCUUUAACCUUAAACCAAAUAAUAUGGGCCUAGGCCCCAG
This is a long non-coding RNA of Alligator mississippiensis (American alligator), 3751 nucleotides long. RefSeq lists it as uncharacterized. The record is from RefSeq and is a predicted model, not a curated record. Lineage: Eukaryota; Metazoa; Chordata; Crocodylia; Alligatoridae. The transcript is spliced from 3 exons.